ACCUCUUCAAUCCAGGAGUCAGAGGGUGGUUAUGCUGAAGCUGGAGCAGUGAAGUGGUGGAGAAAUGGCAGCAUCAGAGGCACCAGAACCAAGAGCAUAAGACUGAGAGGAGUGGUAGGCUACCCAGUCCACAGAGCUGUGAUGCAAAUCUUCACCAUGAGAUAAAGGCUAUCCUCAGAGAUGACAAAACAACAAGACAGAAAGCAGCCCAGGAUUCUGAUACCAGCAUGUCAUAGCAGUUCUGGAAUCCAUCCCAAGAUUACUGUGUGAGAACGAAAUAAAAUUCUGUCUUUUAAAAUUCA
Molecule: long non-coding RNA, 302 nt
Organism: Echinops telfairi (small Madagascar hedgehog)
Lineage: Eukaryota; Metazoa; Chordata; Mammalia; Afrosoricida; Tenrecidae
Exons: 2
Source: RefSeq, a predicted model, not a curated record